UUUUUUUUGUCCCUGGGAAUUUCACGUAACCACAAAACUGCCAUUAAUAUUGAGAACUAGAAUUUCUCCGCAAUCUAUUUUAUUGGGCCAAGCAUUUACAGUCAUAUCUAGCACAAUGGACAUAAUUGUCGUAAAGUUAAAUUGCAGACUUAGCCCGUAACGUAGUUUCUUGAAACUGUAAUUUAUUACAUUUAGAAUGAUUGAAUUUUUUUUAUUUUUUUUUAAUAUAAUGUUAAAUUAUAUUCAAAAGAAAAAUUAUCUUUUUUUACAACAUGUGCAACUUGUUUGAAAUGAAGCUGAAAGUUUAGAAUUGAAAUGAAAAUUUAGAAACUAGAAGUGAUUAGGCUCUUGUAUCAAACCACAUUUGGAGUCCCGCAUCGUAGUGUCUAUCUCCCUUUAUUCGAAUUGAUGAAAGAAUGUUUCUCACUUGUUUGUCGAUCCAACCAAUUAGCCGAGUUGCUGAAUGCAGAGUGUUCCCAUGUCGUCUUCUGUUGCGUUCGCUCCAGAUUGAGUAAACCGAAGCUUGAAAGGCAUAACGCACAAGAAAGUUUUCAACUCGAUUUUGCUGUAAACUAGAAACCGUGUUAAGGAGGAGGUGCCAAUCCGUUGUGAAACGCGUCGUUAGAAUGUUCUUUGCUGUGACUGUCCAGACUUCAGAAGAAUAGGGGCAGUUAAAAAAGAGGUGAUCACGAGAUUUUGUGGGAUGAUUGCAGAAGACACAUGAUCCUGAAGAAACCCCUUUCCAAUUAGCCAUUCGAUCUCCCGUAGAGAGGCGAUCCAAAGCUGCAAGCCAAACACAGAAAGAAAAUUUUGGAGUCGCUUGAUAAAACCAUACUCCUUUGUACCAUGUAACCUUGGUCGCAGUGGUUCGAAUAUUGUUCCAAGUAUCUCGUGUAGAGAACUGUGGUUUAUAAAUGUCAUUUCUUCCUCGCCAAACCACAUCAUCUGCUUUCUCCUUGCGGUUCGCCUUUGAUGUAGCUAUGACGUUUUCUACUUGAUUUAAAUAGUCUGUUAUGUGCCUUCGGCUGCGAUGUGUGUCCCAAACCUCAGCCACUAACUUAUCUCUUUUAAUGCCCAGGUCAAUAAUACCUUUAUCUCCGAUGAAGUUCAUUAUUCUGCCCAUACAAGACCAGUCAUCAUACCAAAACGAUGUGCGUUGACCAUUGUGUACUUCAAUCUUACUAAAAGUUUUUGCCACUUCUCGGUACUUUAGAAGCUUCUUCCACAUCCAUGAUCCCAUCGUUGUGGAGCUUUUUAUUAUCCAGAAAGAGUUAUUUUUCAAGAGAUUCGUUUCUAUCCACUUUACCCACAGUGAGUCUCCAUGGGAUAAUAUUCGCCAAAUCAGCUUCAGACAACAGACAUCAUUUGCUUCUUUCAAAGAUCGCAGUCCAAGGCCUCCCUCCUGUUUCGGUUUACAAAUUGCUUCCCACGCCACUUUAGCUUUGCAAGAGCUAAAAUGACCAUAAAAAAAGCAGAGCAUAUUUUGUUUAUUUCCCUGAGACAGGCACGUGGAAGUCGAAAUGCGGCCAUCAAGAAAUUUGUGAUGCUCGAUAAGACCGAACUGAUCAAGUUUAGUCUUCCAGCAUAGGAGAGAAAACGUGAUGUCCAAGUACCAAUUCUGUGUCGAAUUUGUUCUAUGAGAGGAAGAGAAUCCGCAGAUGAAAGGCGUUUUGUGACCAAAGGGAGCCCUAAAUAGCGAACCGGCAAUUGACCUAUAUCAAAAGAGAAAUGAUUGCUUAUGGCUU
This 1745-nucleotide small RNA is filed under the name Arabidopsis thaliana (thale cress). RNAcentral's name for it is "ATSL105370". Lineage: Eukaryota; Viridiplantae; Streptophyta; Magnoliopsida; Brassicales; Brassicaceae. The record is from RNAcentral.